AUGUAAGAUGAAAUAACUUUGCAAUCUUUGACCAGAAAAUCGGUCGUAGUCCGAUUAUAUCAUUGUGUCUGAUUAUAUGCAAUAUUUAAGAACCUGGUACAACUGUCCAGGUUCUUUUUGGU
Molecule: small RNA, 122 nt
Filed under: Paenibacillus sp. OAS669
Lineage: Bacteria; Bacillati; Bacillota; Bacilli; Caryophanales; Paenibacillaceae
Description: Bacillus sRNA ncr1015
Rfam family: Bacillus sRNA ncr1015
Source: Rfam by way of RNAcentral